RNAcentral lists this non-coding RNA (201 nucleotides) under Algoriphagus zhangzhouensis. The record is from RNAcentral. Lineage: Bacteria; Pseudomonadati; Bacteroidota; Cytophagia; Cytophagales; Cyclobacteriaceae.
AAAAUCAAAGCCGUUGUCGGUUUCCCUUAACGGGAAUUAAUAAGGAACCAUGUGAAAAUCAUGGACUGUCGCGCAACUGUAACCCUGUUCCGAAUUUUCGGAAACAAGCUUUUUCCAAGAAUGCCAUUGUUUGCAUCCAGCAAAUGAGAAGGCGGAAAAGGUCAGGGAAGUCAGGAGACUUGCCACAACGCAUUGACAUUG